AUUGAACGCUGGCGGCAUGCCUUACACAUGCAAGUCGAACGGCAGCGCGGGGCAACCUGGCGGCGAGUGGCGAACGGGUGAGUAAUAUAUCGGAACAUACCCUAGAGUGGGGGAUAACGUAGCGAAAGUUACGCUAAUACCGCAUACGCACUAAGGUGGAAAGUGGGGGAUCUUCGGACCUCAUGCUCAUGGAGUGGCCGAUAUCUGAUUAGCUAGUUGGUGAGGUAAAGGCUCACCAAGGCGACGAUCAGUAGCUGGUUUGAGAGAACGACCAGCCACACUGGAACUGAGACACGGUCCAGACUCCUACGGGAGGCAGCAGUGGGAAUUUUGGACAAUGGGGGCAACCCUGAUCCAGCAAUGCCGCGUGAGUGAAGAAGGCCUU
Molecule: ribosomal RNA, 385 nt
Filed under: uncultured bacterium
Lineage: Bacteria
Description: bacterial SSU rRNA
Rfam family: Bacterial small subunit ribosomal RNA
Source: RNAcentral